GGCAGUCAAAGUAGGCAAAUCCGCUUUGAUAAUGCUGGGAUGUGAUGGGGAGCGAAAUUUAGUAGCGAAGUAGCUGAUUUCACACUGUCAAGAAAAGUCUCUAUCGAGGUUAAAGGUACCCGUACCGCAAACCGACACAGGUGGGUGAGGAGAGUAUCCUAAGGCCAGCGAGAGAACUGUUGUUAAGGAACUCGGCAAAAUGACCCCGUAACUUAGGGAUAAGGGGUGCCACCAUCAGGUGGCCGCAGAGAAUAGGCCCAAGCGACUGUUUACCAAAAACAUAGGUUUCUGCUAAGUCGCAAGACGAUGUAUAGGAGCUGACGCCUGCCCGGUGCUGGAAGGUUAAGGGGAUCUGUUAGAGCAAUCGAAGCAGUGAACUUAAGCCCCAGUAAACGGCGGCCGUAACUAUAACGGUCCUAAGGUAGCGAAAUUCCUUGUCGGGUAAGUUCCGACCCGCACGAAAGGCGUAACGAUUUGGGCACUGUCUCAACAACAGACUCGGUGAAAUUGUAAUUCCGGUGAAGAUGCCGGAUACCUGCGACAGGACGGAAAGACCCCAUGGAGCUUUACUGUAGCUUGACAUUGGGUCUUGGUACUACAUGUACAGGAUAGGUGGGAGGCUUUGAAACCAGGACGCCAGUUUUGGCGGAGCCAUCCUUGGGAUACCACCCUUGUAGUACUGGGACUCUAACCAUAGGCCAUGAAUCUGGUCUUGGGACACUGUCAGGUGGGCAGUUUGACUGGGGCGGUCGCCUCCCAAAAGGUAACGGAGGCGCUCAAAGGUUCUCUCAGUACGGUCGGAAAUCGUACGUAGAGUGUAAAGGCAAAAGAGAGCUUGAUUGCAAGACAUACAGGUCGAGCAAGGAUGAAAAUCGGACUUAGUGAUCCGGUGGUUCUGCGUGGAAGGGCCAUCGCUCAACGGAUAAAAGCUACCCUGGGGAUAACAGGCUUAUCUCCCCCAAGAGUCCACAUCGACGGGGAGGUUUGGCACCUCGAUGUCGGCUCAUCACAUCCUGGGGCUGUAGUAGGUCCCAAGGGUUGGGCUGUUCGCCCAUUAAAGUGGUACGCGAGCUGGGUUCAGAACGUCGUGAGACAGUUCGGUCCCUAUCCGUCGCAGGCGUAGGAAAUUUGAGAAGACCUGUCCUUAGUACGAGAGGACCGGGAUGGACG
This 1170-nucleotide ribosomal RNA is filed under the name Clostridioides difficile. RNAcentral's name for it is "partial 23S ribosomal RNA". It matches the Rfam family "Bacterial large subunit ribosomal RNA", at positions 1523 to 2703 of the family's 2925-position model. The record is from RNAcentral. Lineage: Bacteria; Bacillati; Bacillota; Clostridia; Peptostreptococcales; Peptostreptococcaceae.